RNAcentral lists this ribosomal RNA (405 nucleotides) under uncultured bacterium. RNAcentral's name for it is "partial 16S ribosomal RNA". It matches the Rfam family "Bacterial small subunit ribosomal RNA", at positions 29 to 525 of the family's 1533-position model. The record is from RNAcentral.
AUUGAACGCUGGCGGCAGGCCUAACACAUGCAAGUCGAGCGAGCGGCGGACGGGUGAGUAAUGUCUGGGAAACUGCCUGAUGGAGGGGGAUAACUACUGGAAACGGGAGCUAAUACCGCAUACCAUCAGAUGUGCCCAGAUGGGAUUAGCUAGUAGGUGGGGUAACGGCUCACCGAGGCGACGAUCCCUAGCUGGUCUGAGAGGAUGACCAGCCAAACUGGAACUGAGCCACGGUCCAGACUCCGACGGGAGGCAGCAGUGGGGAAUAUUGCACAAUGGGCGCAAGCCUGAGGCAGCCAGGCCGCGUGUGUGAAGAAGGCCUUCGGGUUGUAAAGCACUUUCAGCGGGGAGGCGUUACCAACAGAAUAAGCACCGGCUAACUGCGUGCCAGCAGCCGCGGUAAUC